This 350-nucleotide ribosomal RNA is filed under the name Dendronotus albus (white frond-aeolis). RNAcentral describes it as "partial 28S ribosomal RNA". It matches the Rfam family "Eukaryotic large subunit ribosomal RNA", at positions 37 to 377 of the family's 3401-position model. The record is from RNAcentral. Lineage: Eukaryota; Metazoa; Mollusca; Gastropoda; Nudibranchia; Dendronotidae.
AGCAUAUCAUUAAGCGGAGGAAAAGAAACCAACCGGGAUUCCCUCAGUAACGGCGAGUGAAGCGGGAUCAGCCCAGCGCCGAAUCCGCCGCGGCCUACAGCCCGGCCGGAACUGUGGCGUGCGGGACGUGGCCAGUCGGUCGGAAGCGUACCCGAGUCCCCCCGAGCGGGGCCCAUCCCAUAGCGGGUGCCAGGCCUCUGCAGGUACGCAUCCGACCGGCCGCUACCGUCCCCGGAGUCGGGUCGCUUGGGAAUGCAGCCCGAAGCGGGUGGUAAACUCCACCUAAGGCUAAAUACCGGCGCGAGUCCGAUAGCGGACAAGUACCGCGAGGGAAAGUUGAAAAGAACUUU